GGCCUCGUAGCUCAGCUGGCAGAGCGUGCGCUGUACAAAAGCGUAGGCGGCGUCCGUGCGUGAAUUCGAAUCCCACCGAGGCUA
This 84-nucleotide transfer RNA is filed under the name Echinostoma caproni. It matches the Rfam family "tRNA". Rfam says of the family: Transfer RNA (tRNA) molecules are approximately 80 nucleotides in length. Their secondary structure includes four short double-helical elements and three loops (D, anti-codon, and T loops). Lineage: Eukaryota; Metazoa; Platyhelminthes; Trematoda; Plagiorchiida; Echinostomatidae. The record is from Rfam by way of RNAcentral.